This 421-nucleotide long non-coding RNA is filed under the name Salmo salar (Atlantic salmon). RNAcentral describes it as "lncRNA (ENSSSAG00000107055.1)". Lineage: Eukaryota; Metazoa; Chordata; Actinopteri; Salmoniformes; Salmonidae. The record is from RNAcentral.
AUUUGUCUUCACAUCCUCCAUGCUCUCACUCCUUUUGUGGAUCUGAGCCUUGUGACUGAGUCCCUUGAUUCUUCUUACUUCCGCUGUUCCUUUUCAUUCCAACAAAGGCAAGGCAAAAUACUGCUGCCCCUGUGAAAGCUAAUGGGGAUUCAAAUAAACCAAUCGUGUCAAAAGGAUUACUAUUUAGAUUGAGAAGUUGGACAGGCCGACUCAAAUGCCCCCAACAUAUACUGUGAUUGUGAACCAUCCGUCUUCACCACACCACCGUGUUCCGCUUUUUCUAUCUUUGUCUUCUCUGGGAAAAGAUCAAUGAAGGACACAGUGCACGGCCGGCCGGGCGCCUGCUGAGGGGUUGUCGACAUGAAAUAGGCCCUGGGAAUAUCAUCACACUUAUCAGACCCUCUGAACAAUGGUCACAGGC